UUGGCGGAAUGGUUUUAAUCGGCCCGUCUAGUAACACGGACCAAGGAGUCUAACAUGUGUGCGAGUCGGUGGGUGACAAACCCACGAGGCGCAAGUAACCUGACUGAGCAACAUCGACCGACCAUGAACUUUUGUGAAAGGUUUGAGUGCGAGCAUACAUGCUGGGACCCGAAAGAUGGUGAACUAUGCCUGAGCAGGGCGAAGUCAGAGGAAACUCUGAUGGAGGCUCGUAGCGAUACUGACGUGCAAAUCGUUCGUCAUAUUUGGGUAUAGGGGCGAAAGACUAAUCGAACCAUCGAGUAGCUGGUUCCCUCCGAAAUUUCCCUUAGGAUAGCUGCAACUUGUACAGUUUUAUCAGGUAAAGCGAAUGAUUAGAGGCUCGGGGGACGGAAUGUCCUUCACCUAUUCUCAAACUUUAAAUGGGUAAGAGCCCGGGGUUGCCUGAUCGAACCCCGGCGUCGAAUGUCGGUUGCUAGUGGGCCAUUCCGGGUAAGCUGGACUGGCGAUGCGGGAUGAUCCGAACGCCGAGUUAAAGUGCCUCACUGCCCGCUCACCUAGAUCCCACAAAAGG
RNAcentral lists this ribosomal RNA (571 nucleotides) under Alexandrium tamarense. Its description in RNAcentral is "partial Eukaryotic large subunit ribosomal RNA". It matches the Rfam family "Eukaryotic large subunit ribosomal RNA", at positions 626 to 1221 of the family's 3401-position model. Lineage: Eukaryota; Dinophyceae; Gonyaulacales; Pyrocystaceae. The record is from RNAcentral.